RNAcentral lists this unclassified non-coding RNA (208 nucleotides) under uncultured Serendipita. RNAcentral's name for it is "partial internal transcribed spacer 2". Lineage: Eukaryota; Fungi; Basidiomycota; Agaricomycetes; Sebacinales. The record is from RNAcentral.
UAAUCUCACUUCUACAACUUUUUUGUUGUCGAAUGUGGACUUGGACGUCUGCCGUGUUUCAAUGGCUCGUCUUAAAUGCCUGAGUGUACCCCGCUUUGUGGCGUAUUCGGUGUGAUAAACAUUUCACCGGAGUUUGGUCUUCUGACCGCGCUUUUGCAAUUGGUGGGCUCUAUGCUUCCCAACCGUCCCUUGUGGACAAUCUUUGACA